This 439-nucleotide long non-coding RNA is filed under the name Mytilus galloprovincialis (Mediterranean mussel). Lineage: Eukaryota; Metazoa; Mollusca; Bivalvia; Mytilida; Mytilidae. The record is from RNAcentral.
CAUGUACAUGUAUAUACCAAUCUAAGUUAGUGUAUAUCUUGUUUCUCGUCUUACUUUACAGUAGAGCUACUUUGAUAGAUCAGGUUGACUGAUAAGCUGUCUAUAUAAAGUAAUGGGACAAUGCAUGGAAUGAAGACAUCACCAAGUCACCGUAUGCAACAUUUAAAAAGACAUCCUGAGCUUAUCAUAUAGUCAUCACCUACCCACCAACACGGUGUGAGCUCUGGUUUCCGCGUAUUUAUAGAUUAUAGAUCGGUUACAAGUCCAACACGCAAGUUACGUAAAGGAAAGCUCUCUGACUCGCAACAAUAGACCGGAAUGACUUUACGAUCAUCCGCUGUAAAAGGGACAAAAAAAUACAGAUCCGAGAGUAAUCGCAGUUACUGACAGCUAGUUCAAAGCCAAUAAAAACUAAUACAAAAAUCAUGUAUCUAAGACA